AUUGAACGCUGGCGGCAUGCUUUACACAUGCAAGUCGAACGGUAACAGGCCGCAAGGUGCUGACGAGUGGCGAACGGGUGAGUAAUGCAUCGGAACGUGCCCAGUCGUGGGGGAUAACUACUCGAAAGAGUAGCUAAUACCUCAUACGAUCUAUGGAUGAAAGCGGGGGACCGUAAGGCCUCGCGCGAUUUGAGCGGCCGAUGUCAGAUUAGGUAGUUGGUGGGGUAAAGGCUCACCAAGCCAACGAUCUGUAGCUGGUCUGAGAGGACGACCAGCCACACUGGGACUGAGACACGGCCCAGACUCCUACGGGAGGCAGCAGUGGGGAAUUUUGGACAAUGGGCGCAAGCCUGAUCCAGCAAUGCCGCGUGCAGGAAGAAGGCCUUCGGGUUGUAAACUGCUUUUGUACGGAACGAAACGGCUCUGGUUAAUACCCGGAGCUAAUGACGGUACCGUAAGAAUAAGCACCGGCUAACUACGUG
RNAcentral lists this ribosomal RNA (482 nucleotides) under uncultured bacterium. Its description in RNAcentral is "partial 16S ribosomal RNA". It matches the Rfam family "Bacterial small subunit ribosomal RNA", at positions 30 to 507 of the family's 1533-position model. The record is from RNAcentral.